Molecule: long non-coding RNA, 199 nt
Filed under: Vigna radiata
Lineage: Eukaryota; Viridiplantae; Streptophyta; Magnoliopsida; Fabales; Fabaceae
Description: long non-coding RNA (VRAD_LNC017289)
Source: RNAcentral
CAAGUUACCUGCUUAAUGGUUGAUAAGUGUCUAAUAUAAAUUAAUUUUUAUAUCAAUUUUGCACUUAUCUUAUUUUUAUUUUCUCAAAUAUAUAUGUAGAAAUCAUCCGAAUUUUUUGACUUGUUUUGUAGAUUUUGAUGAUCACAAAGAGUCAAAGAGGAAACAUUGUUGUGUAUGAAAAGUUAUUUAAAGAAAAAAA